This 891-nucleotide ribosomal RNA is filed under the name Lignosphaeria thailandica. RNAcentral describes it as "eukaryotic LSU rRNA". It matches the Rfam family "Eukaryotic large subunit ribosomal RNA", at positions 32 to 945 of the family's 3401-position model. Lineage: Eukaryota; Fungi; Ascomycota; Dothideomycetes; Pleosporales; Phaeoseptaceae. The record is from RNAcentral.
CAAGAUACAUUCAAUAAGCGGAGGACAAGAAAUCAACAGAGAUUGCCUCAGUAACGGCGAGUGAAGCGGCAACAGCUCAAAUUUGAAAUCUGGCCCCCUCGGAGCCCGAGUUGUAAUUUGCAGAGGGUGCUUUGGCGUCGGCUGUGGCCUAAGUUCCUUGGAACAGGAUGUCGUAGAGGGUGAGAAUCCCGUACGCGGCCGCCAGCCUUUGCCGUGUAAAGCCCCUUCGAAGAGUCGAGUUGUUUGGGAAUGCAGCUCUAAACAGGAGGUAAAUUCCUUCCAAAGCUAAAUACCGGCCAGAGACCGAUAGCGCACAAGUAGAGUGAUCGAAAGAUGAAAAGCACUUUGGAAAGAGAGUCAAAAAGCACGUGAAAUUGUUGAAAGGGAAGCGCUUGCAGCCAGACGCGCCUGCGGGGGUUCAUCCGGGCUUCUGCCCGGUGCACUCCCCCGCGGGUGGGCCAGCGUCAGCUUGGGUGGCCGGACAAAAGCCUGCUAAACGUACCUCCCCCGGGAGGACUUAUAGGGUAGGUGGCAUUACGGCUAGCCCGGGCUGAGGACCGCGCUUCGGCGAGGAUGCUGGCGUAAUGGUGGCAAGCGGCCCGUCUUGAAACACGGACCAAGGAGUCUAACGUCUAUGCGAGUGUUUGGGUGUCAAGCCCGAUCGCGCAAUGAAAGUGAACGGAGGUGAGAUCCCUCACGGGUGCAUCAUCGACCGAUCCUGAAGUCUUCGGAUGGAUUUGAGUAAGAGCGUAGCCGUUGGGACCCGAAAGAAGGUGAACUAAGCUUGAAUAGGGUGAAGCCAGAGGAAACUCUGGUGGAGGCUCGCAGCGGUUCUGACGUGCAAAUCGAUCGUCAAAUUUGGGCUUAGGGGCGAAAGACUAAUCGACUUCU